Molecule: ribosomal RNA, 499 nt
Filed under: uncultured bacterium
Lineage: Bacteria
Description: partial 16S ribosomal RNA
Rfam family: Bacterial small subunit ribosomal RNA
Source: RNAcentral
AUUGAACGCUGGCGGAAUGCUUUACACAUGCAAGUCGAACGGCAGCACGGACUUCGGUCUGGUGGCGAGUGGCGAACGGGUGAGUAAUGUAUCGGAACGUGCCCAGUCGUGGGGAUAACGUAGUGAAAAUUACGCUAAUACCGCAUACGAUCUAUGGAUGAAAGCGGGGGAUCGCAAGACCUCGCGCGAUUGGAGCGGCCGAUAUCAGAUUAGGUAGUUGGUGGGGUAAAGGCCCACCAAGCCAACGAUCUGUAGCUGGUCUGAGAGGACGACCAGCCACACUGGAACUGAGACACGGUCCAGACUCCUACGGGAGGCAGCAGUGGGGAAUUUUGGACAAUGGGCGAAAGCCUGAUCCAGCCAUUCCGCGUGCAGGAUGAAGGCCCUCGGGCUGUAAACUGCUUUUGUACAGAACGAAAAGGUUUCUACUAAUACUAGGAGCUCAUGACGGUACUGUAAGAAUAAGCACCGGCUAACUACGUGCCAGCAGCCGCAGUAA